Long non-coding RNA from Pezoporus occidentalis (night parrot), 899 nucleotides. RefSeq lists it as uncharacterized. Lineage: Eukaryota; Metazoa; Chordata; Aves; Psittaciformes; Psittacidae. The transcript has 3 exons. The record is from RefSeq and is a predicted model, not a curated record.
GGUAUUGGAAAGGUGGUAACUGUCACAUGAGGGUCUCAGGACAGGCAGGGGAAAGGGAAGUGAUGAGAAGGAAUCUCUGACCAUCUAUCUUUAUUUUUUGAAUCUUUUGGUGUGAAUGCUUGACCUGAGCAGGUUUGAUCUCAAUGGAUACUGAAGCUGGACUGCUGCGCCUUCCAACUCUUGCAAUUUCUGGGGAAAGAGAGGGCAGCUGGGUUUAGAUGAAGAGGACAGAGGAACAGUAAAAAAAAAAGAAAUAUUUAACAUGGAGAAUCUCAAUUGCUGAGAAGAGCAGAGUUAAGGUGCUUCAUUGUUCACAUGCUAAAAACAUGCCAGAAGACAAUAUUGCUCUUUGCCUUCACUGUGGAUACAGAAUGACUAGAUUAGCUGAUGAAAUUCAGAUUUAGCUAUUUAGAAAAAGGUAUCUGCCUGCUUUGGUGACAAAACACUCAAGGAGACUCACAAACGAAAGACAUAGUGCUUCUUUCUGAAAACUGCAUGGGCCUCAUCUCUACUUUCAACACUAUUGUCUGUUACUACAGGAGAUCUGAUUUUUCUGCACCUCUUUCCAGCCAUGUCCAAUGAAAUUUGCAGAAGACUGAUAUCUUCUGCAGUGUUCUUGAUGCUAUGUGAUGUUCGGAUCCUACUGGGCUCUUUAAGUUGGAAUUUAAACUUUGGUUUCCUACAUUUUGGGAUGGUUCUCUUAAAUUACACUGUUGGCUUGAGAAAAUUUCCUAGAUUUUUUUAAGAACAUUCUUUUCUAGAAAGAAAAUUUCUUUUCCAUAAAAUCCAUGUUUAUUCACACAACCAAAAUGAGUAAAAUAUACAGACAGGGGGAUAGGGAGGGAGAGAGGGUGUAAAGAAUUCCCAACUAACAAAGAAGAACAGUUCUACUACUGACU